UUCAAAGGAACUCCAAGAAAUGCUGAGCAACAGGACCCAUUUCCGAAGCUUUUGUCAGUCACGAUUAAAUGGAGCAUGGUGCAAUUCGUGUUGGCAGAUUAGAUCAAUCAGAACCGCAAACUUGAGCAACCUGCUCAACUGUCACGCAGCAGUCUGCAGUUUUUUUGAGUCUUCCGUUUAAGUUCUGCCAGUUCAGGAUAGGUCAAAUAAAAUCGCAGUUGGUUUUCCUGUAAGGUGUCCGAUUGUGCUCGUUGAAUCCAGUGACGAUCACACAACAUGUUAUGUAUGACCUCCACUGGCUUCCUGUUGCGGCCCGUAUCCGACUCAAGACGAUGGUGCUGGCCUUCGAGGGCGUCAACGGAACUGCACCCGUCUACCUCCAAACACU
This is a long non-coding RNA of Acanthopagrus latus (yellowfin seabream), 388 nucleotides long. RefSeq lists it as uncharacterized. The record is from RefSeq and is a predicted model, not a curated record. NCBI's taxonomy places the organism in Eukaryota, Metazoa, Chordata, Actinopteri, Spariformes, Sparidae. The transcript is spliced from 2 exons.